RNAcentral lists this ribosomal RNA (253 nucleotides) under uncultured bacterium. RNAcentral describes it as "partial 16S ribosomal RNA". It matches the Rfam family "Bacterial small subunit ribosomal RNA", at positions 524 to 776 of the family's 1533-position model. The record is from RNAcentral.
UACGUAGGGUGCGAGCGUUAAUCGGAAUUACUGGGCGUAAAGCGUGCGCAGGCGGUUCUCCAAGUCCGUUGUGAAAGCCCCGGGCUCAACCUGGGAAUGGCAGUGGAAACUAGGGGACUGGAAUCUGGCAGAGGGGGGUGGAGUGCCGCGUGUAGCAGUGAAAUGCGUAGAGAUGCGGCGGAACACCGAUGGCGAAGGCAGCCCCCUGGGCUGAGAUUGACGCUCAGGCACGAAAGCGUGGGGAGCAAACAGG